AAAGGGUCCGUAGGCGGUUUAGUAAGUCAGUGGUGAAAGCCCAUCGCUCAACGAUGGAACGGCCAUUGAUACUGCUAGACUUGAAUUACUAGGAAGUAACUAGAAUAUGUAGUGUAGCGGUGAAAUGCUUAGAUAUUACAUGGAAUACCAAUUGCGAAGGCAGGUUACUACUAGUGGAUUGACGCUGAUGGACGAAAGCGUGGGGAGCGAACAGGAUUAGAUACCCGAGU
This 230-nucleotide ribosomal RNA is filed under the name uncultured bacterium. RNAcentral describes it as "partial 16S ribosomal RNA". It matches the Rfam family "Bacterial small subunit ribosomal RNA", at positions 562 to 791 of the family's 1533-position model. The record is from RNAcentral.